GUGGGGAAUAUUGCACAAUGGGCGCAAGCCUGAUGCAGCCAUGCCGCGUGUAUGAAGAAGGCCUUCGGGUUGUAAAGUACUUUCAGCGGGGAGGAAGGCGAUAAGGUUAAUAACCUUGUCGAUUGACGUUACCCGCAGAAGAAGCACCGGCUAACUCCGUGCCAGCAGCCGCGGUAAUACGGAGGGUGCAAGCGUUAAUCGGAAUUACUGGGCGUAAAGCGCACGCAGGCGGUCUGUCAAGUCGGAUGUGAAAUCCCCGGGCUCAAACGGGGAACUGCAUUGGAAACUGGCAGGCUAGAGUCUUGUAGAGGGGGGUAGAAUUCCAGGUGUAGCGGUGAAAUGCGUAGAGAUCUGGAGGAAUACCGGUGGCGAAGGCGGCCCCCUGGACAAAGACUGACGCUCAGGUGCGAAAGCGUGGGGAGCAAACAGGAUUAGAUACCCGAGUAGUCC
RNAcentral lists this ribosomal RNA (450 nucleotides) under uncultured bacterium. RNAcentral describes it as "partial 16S ribosomal RNA". It matches the Rfam family "Bacterial small subunit ribosomal RNA", at positions 354 to 796 of the family's 1533-position model. The record is from RNAcentral.